AUGGCUACAGGACGAACGCUGGCGGCGUGCUUCAAACAUGCAAGUCGAACGAGACUCAAGGAAGCUUGCUUCUGAGAGUCUAGUGGCGGACGGGUGAGUAACGCGUGAGCAAUCUGGCUAUUACAGGGGGAUAACACUUAGAAAUGAGUGCUAAUACCGCGUAUGACCACAACCUGGCAUCGGGAAGGGGUGAAAGGAGAAAUCCGGUAAUAGAUGAGCUUGCGUUUCAUUAGCUAGUUGGUGAAGGUAACGGCCCACCAAGGCGACGAUGAAUAGCCGAUCUGAGAGGAUGAACGGCCACACUGGAAUUGAGAACGGUCCAGACUCCUACGGGAGGCAGCAGUUAGGAAUAUUGGGCAAUGGAGGAAACUCUGAACCCCCAGCAACGCCGCGUGAAGGAAGAAGGUUUUCGGAUUGUAAACUUCUGAUCUGUGGGAAGAAGAAAGUGACGGUACCACAGGAGAAAGCCACGGCUAACUACGUGCCAGCAGCCGC
RNAcentral lists this ribosomal RNA (495 nucleotides) under uncultured bacterium. RNAcentral's name for it is "bacterial SSU rRNA". It matches the Rfam family "Bacterial small subunit ribosomal RNA", at positions 26 to 518 of the family's 1533-position model. The record is from RNAcentral.